RNAcentral lists this ribosomal RNA (253 nucleotides) under uncultured bacterium. RNAcentral's name for it is "partial 16S ribosomal RNA". It matches the Rfam family "Bacterial small subunit ribosomal RNA", at positions 524 to 776 of the family's 1533-position model. The record is from RNAcentral.
UACGUAGGGGGCAAGCGUUGUCCGGAAUUACUGGGCGUAAAGCGCACGUAGGUGGCGACGUAAGUCGGGUGUGAAAGCCCCGGGCUCAACCUGGGAAUUGCAUUCGAGACUGCAUUGCUGGAGUACGGAAGAGGAAGGCGGAAUUCCCGGUGUAGCGGUGAAAUGCGUAGAUAUCGGGAGGAACAUCAGUGGCGAAGGCGGCCUUCUGGUCCAGUACUGACGCUGAGGUGCGAAAGCGUGGGGAGCAAACAGG